GGGGGAGUAGAUUAAGUAGAUCAAGUGGCCUUCAAAGUCACUGAGUGUGGGUUCGAUUCCCAUCUUCCCUG
Molecule: transfer RNA, 71 nt
Filed under: Lucernaria janetae
Lineage: Eukaryota; Metazoa; Cnidaria; Staurozoa; Stauromedusae; Lucernariidae
Description: tRNA-Trp
Rfam family: tRNA
About the family: Transfer RNA (tRNA) molecules are approximately 80 nucleotides in length. Their secondary structure includes four short double-helical elements and three loops (D, anti-codon, and T loops). Further hydrogen bonds mediate the characteristic L-shaped molecular structure. tRNAs have two regions of fundamental functional importance: the anti-codon, which is responsible for specific mRNA codon recognition, and the 3' end, to which the tRNAs corresponding amino acid is attached (by aminoacyl-tRNA synthetases). tRNAs cope with the degeneracy of the genetic code in two manners: having more than one tRNA (with a specific anti-codon) for a particular amino acid; and 'wobble' base-pairing, i.e. permitting non-standard base-pairing at the 3rd anti-codon position.
Source: RNAcentral